Odontomachus brunneus is the source of this 2674-nucleotide long non-coding RNA. RefSeq lists it as uncharacterized. Lineage: Eukaryota; Metazoa; Arthropoda; Insecta; Hymenoptera; Formicidae. The transcript has 3 exons. The record is from RefSeq and is a predicted model, not a curated record.
UGUUUUUACUUUCAGUAAAACAAACAAUCCUCUAGUAGGAAAAAGACGUUGCAACACUCCAAGAUAUAUUGGAGAUCUACGUCCUGAAGAUUUUAAUUCAUAUCAAUGUUGGAUUAUGUUCCAUAGAUAUUUGACAGAAACAAGAAAGAAAUUAAAAUAUUUAAAAAGUGAAAAUAAUCGUUUAAGUAACAAAGUAGCCAGAUUACAAGUGAUAUUUGAUCAUUUCAAAGAGAAAGGACUUAUUUGUAGUAAUGACAGGGAUUGCUUCAUAGAGUCCACAAAAGAAAUUACUACAAGUUCUAUAUGAAUAUAUAUCUGAAAAAAAAUAACUCACGACAUAUAUUUUUCUUGUAAUAUUAAAAAUACUGUUAAAAAAAUAGACAGUAUCAGCUGCAUAUUAUUUGAAACAGAAUUGUGACAUUGUCAGUAAACAAAUACAAAAUUAUGAGAUGAAAAAUCCACAAAUAUACAAGAAAUUUGUUUAUAUAUGACAAUUCACUAACACAUUCACUACUAUGUCAUAUGUGUAUACAGGUUUGCAAUCUUUCCUUUACUAAAGAUCGGAAAAAGUGAAGUGAAAUGCUCAUAAAACAUUGAAAACGAAUCCAUGAAGGACAUAGUACCAAUCCAGAAGAGAAGCAAUCAAUGAGGAUAUUUAUGCUACACAAUUGUAUAUCGUUAUAAUUUUUGGCUUGGUGUUCAAUAAGCCACGGAGUAUCACAAUUCUUUUGUUUUCAGAGCGAUAUUAUAUAGGGUGAUUCAAAACAAUUUCCUGUUCUUGAAAUGCCAUAUAUAUUCUUCUGGAAUUCUGAGACAAUUUUUCCUUUUGUAAAAUGUUAUCCGAAACUUAGUUUUUGAAUUAAUAAAAUAAAUAGUUUGCUUGUUACGAUUCGGAUACAGGAAGUAAGCAGAAGCGACGCAACUUAUCGAUAGAUACAAGCACUCAAGUGGGAUGUCUGGUGCUACAGCUAAUUGAUACAUGUGAUAGUGUUUAUACAUAUUAUACACAUUACUUUUAUAAUUUUCGUUAAUAUGUAACAGGAAAUAACGUGCUUUAAAUUAGUAGAAUACAAUUAUAAUAUAAUAUUUGAGAGUGAAAUAUUCGAUUACGUUUUAGCUAACUGGAAAAUAACCUUUAAAAAUACGAACGAGAGGCGGAGUGUUAAUAGUCAUAGUUUGAAAAGCAUAAGAUGUUUUUACAAUUAAGAAAACCAACGAAUUAUAAUCACAUCUUACUAAUUUAAAACAUUUUAUUUGCUAUUGCGCACGAUUAUUGACAAAAAUUAUAAAAAUGAAUAUAACUAUUGUCAUACAUCUAAUUGCCCAAGGCGUCCUACGCUGGUGCUUGCUGACACCUAACUGUGAAUUGUGUUGCCUCUGUCUUCCUAUGCUCAAUUCGUAAUAGACAAACUAUUUAUUUUUAUAACUUAAACACUAAGUAUUGGAUAAAUAACAUUUUACAGAAGGAAAAAUUGUCUCAAAUUUCACUUUUAUUCAAGAAUAUGAUAUUUCAAGAACAAAAAGUUUCGAGUCGCCCCGUAGAAUGGAUUAAUAACUUAAUAAUCUAUAAAUAAUCUCUCGGUUUUAUUUUCAAAAAAACGGAUGAUGAGAGAGAGAGAACUUUUUCUCGUAAUUACAAGCAAUUCAGUGAAAAAUCUACAUGUUUGUAAUUUAUAUGUUUAUUUGUAAAAUUGUAAGAUUUUUUUGUUCAGUUUGACCUAAUUUAUAUUCCUACACAAGUUUUAUAUCUUAUUGUCAGACAUCCUGUGUACAUAUAUUGAAUAUAUAUAUAUAUAUAUAUAUAUAUAUAUAUAUAUAUAUAUAUGUGUGUGUGUGUGUGUGUGUGUGUGUGUUAAAAUUUAAAUAUUCCUUACUUAAAAAUAAUAAGAAUUUCCAGGAUUAGUGUAUAAGCAUUAGCACUUUAAUUUAUUUCAUUUUUUAAAAGAAUUUGUUAUAAUAUCUUUUACAAGUUUGCUGUAUACUAUAUAUACUUGAUAAUAAUACUACUAUAUAUACUUAAUAAGAUAUAUACUUAUAAAUAUAUAUACUUUAUAUGUAUAUAUACUUGACUAUAUAUACUUGAUAAGAUAUCAUUUUUUUCGAUAAUUUUAUUUUUAAGUUCACACCUUAUUCACUAAUAAUAAGAUAAUAGUUUUUUAAAAUUGGCUUCAGUUCUGCAAUAUAAGCUGUAAUUAAUAAUACAAAAAGAAUGACAGAAAAAUUCAAUUCAGGAGCAAAAAUACUUGUUGAUUUCAAGUUGAUUAAAUACUAGUCAAAGAAUGAAUUGAAUAUGAGUUAACGGAUGUAUAGCAAAAUAGAUGAUUUAGGAUUUUAUAUAUAACAAAGGCAAUGUAAGGAAACACUCUUGUACACACUUUGCACUCUUGUAUAUAUAUUGUGUAUGUAUGUGAUAGGAAAAAUAUCAAAAUAUUCCUUUGUUUAAGUUUGAAAUGAAUGAAUGUAAUAUAUAAUAGUAAUGUACUUGAAAAUAAUAUAAUGAUCAUGAAAGAGUAUCAUGGGUGUACAGAAAAGACAAGAGACAACAGCAAAGCAGCUACUAAAAUUGUUUAGUUAACAGCUUUAAAAACAACUAUUUUGUAUUAUUGUGUAAAAAUUAUUAAAAAAAUAAAUAUUCUUAAAUAAAAUUUAAUAUCUGUAUAUGAAAAUCGCUUUU